AUGCCUUUUGGGUUAACUAAUGCACCUAGUACUUUCAUGAGAUUAAUGAACGAAGUUUUACGUGCUUUCAUUGGACGAUUUGUGGUAGUUUACUUUGAUGACAUAUUGAUUUAUAGCAGAUCUUUGGGAGAACAUUUGGAACAUUUACGUGCUGUUUUUAUUGCUCUACGUGAUGCACGUUUGUUUGGUAACCUUGGGAAGUGCACCUUUUGCACCGACCGAGUAUCUUUUCUUGGCUAUGUUGUUACUCCACAGGGAAUUGAAGUUGAUAAAGCCAAGAUUGAAGCUAUUGAGAGUUGGCCGCAGCCCAAAACGGUCACACACGUGAGGAGUUUUCUUGGCCUCGCUGGAUUCUAU
This 357-nucleotide ribosomal RNA is filed under the name Triticum aestivum (bread wheat). Its description in RNAcentral is "partial small subunit ribosomal RNA". Lineage: Eukaryota; Viridiplantae; Streptophyta; Magnoliopsida; Poales; Poaceae. The record is from RNAcentral.